This is a long non-coding RNA of Marmota monax (woodchuck), 667 nucleotides long. RefSeq lists it as uncharacterized. The record is from RefSeq and is a predicted model, not a curated record. Lineage: Eukaryota; Metazoa; Chordata; Mammalia; Rodentia; Sciuridae. The transcript has 2 exons.
UACAAAGGGAGAGAAUAAUUUUGUCAGUAGGCAAGGCCCUGUACUACCUGCUUGGACUCAACUGUCUGAUGUUUUUGGUCCGGAGCUCUAAAUCCUUAUUGCCGCAAUCAUUUUCUUCACUUUGGGUAACACUUUACUUAUUAGCACAGGCCUUUCAGCUGGGCCCUUGGGCUUGCUGCCUCACUAUCAGAACAUUCUUUCCACCUCCUGCCCAGAAGCUGGGGAAGAAGGCUGAACAAUUGGCCUGGGAAGAAGUUCAGAUUCACAACAGCUGAGUAAAAAAAGAGCUAGAAGCCCUGCUCCAAGGAUAAGCAAGAACUCAGCUAUAACAUCAGAAUGAAGGUCUGCUCCCCUUCUUCAUAGACAUCUUCACAAAUCAGCAAUGAAAGAGAGCAUUUAUUUGGUGCUGAUGCUAUGUUAUCUUCAUAUAUGUGAAUAAUUGUAACUUCAGGACCUACUUUUAGGAAGUAUACCAUGUAUUUUUAGUUAAUGACAAAGGCAUGACUUCUGGACUUAAACCAGGUCUGGAAUGCCUACUCUAAAACUUCUGGAUUACAUGAUGCUAGAAGAAUUAAUGUAACCUUUGGACCUGUGUUCUUAUCUAUAAACAUAUGUUCUAAAGUCUAUUUAGCACAAUACCUGAAAAACAAUAAAUGUUUAAUAGACA